UACGUAGGGGGCAAGCGUUGUCCGGAUUUAUUGGGCGUAAAGAGCGUGUAGGCGGCUAGACAGGUCCGCUGUGAAAACUCGAGGCUCAACCUCGAGACGUCGGUGGAAACCGUCUGGCUAGAGUCCGGAAGAGGAGAGUGGAAUUCCCGGUGUAGCGGUGAAAUGCGCAGAUAUCAGGAGGAACACCUGUGGCGAAAGCGGCGCACUGGACCACAACUGACGCUGAGGCGCGAAAGCUAGGGGAGCAAACAGG
Molecule: ribosomal RNA, 253 nt
Filed under: uncultured bacterium
Lineage: Bacteria
Description: partial 16S ribosomal RNA
Rfam family: Bacterial small subunit ribosomal RNA
Source: RNAcentral